Long non-coding RNA from Suricata suricatta (meerkat), 222 nucleotides. RefSeq lists it as uncharacterized. Lineage: Eukaryota; Metazoa; Chordata; Mammalia; Carnivora; Herpestidae. The transcript is spliced from 2 exons. The record is from RefSeq and is a predicted model, not a curated record.
CGGCGGCGGCGGCUGGAGCUGCUGGAGCUGCUGGAGCUGCUGGAGCUGCUGGAGCUGGGAGUUCAGGGAUGAGCACUGAACGAUUUCUGCAGCAGGAAGACAGUCUGGCCAGAGAAUGAUCUAGAGAAAAUUACUGUGACAAGUUCACUUCCUUCUUUGCCCGAAUCUCAGUCUAAAAGCUUUCCAACAAGCCUACAAAUAAAUUUAAGGAUCGAUGUUGAA